GAGCAACUUAGGAUUUUAGGCUCCCCGGUGUGUCUCGAACCACGCCGGGCCAAACCCGCAGGAACUGGCGGUCCCUGCGCGGUCAAAAUUCAUUCCGCCGGAG
Regulatory RNA element from Faecalibacterium sp. CAG:82, 103 nucleotides. It matches the Rfam family "PreQ1-III (pre queuosine) riboswitch aptamer". NCBI's taxonomy places the organism in Bacteria, Bacillati, Bacillota, Clostridia, Eubacteriales, Oscillospiraceae. The record is from Rfam.